GCAAGUCGUACGAGAACUCUUCUGCUUGCAGAAGAUAGUAAAGUGGCGCACGGGUGAGUAACGCGUGGGUAAUCUACCUUCGAAUCGGGGAUAACAUUGCGAAAGCGAUGCUAAUACCGGAUAACAUUCUUUGGGCUCCGGUCCAUGGAAUCAAGGGUGGCCUCUUCAUGAAAGCUACUGUUUGAAGAUGAGCCCGCGUACCAUUAGCUUGUUGGUGGGGUAAUGGCCUACCAAGGCUUCGAUGGUUAGCUGGUCUGAGAGGAUGAUC
RNAcentral lists this ribosomal RNA (268 nucleotides) under uncultured bacterium. RNAcentral's name for it is "partial 16S ribosomal RNA". It matches the Rfam family "Bacterial small subunit ribosomal RNA", at positions 57 to 305 of the family's 1533-position model. The record is from RNAcentral.